This is a long non-coding RNA of Pseudopipra pipra, 1045 nucleotides long. RefSeq lists it as uncharacterized. NCBI's taxonomy places the organism in Eukaryota, Metazoa, Chordata, Aves, Passeriformes, Pipridae. The transcript has 2 exons. The record is from RefSeq and is a predicted model, not a curated record.
CUCAUGGACUCAGAACAUGAAGGUUAGCAUGGUUGGUAUAUAGUUCCUAUACCUUGGUGAGGCUCAGGAUCCUCAUAGACACGAGGAAGAGGAGGACAGGGUGGAAACAGGUAUUCUCUGGAUGACAAAUAUAUUUUUAGAGAUAUUGGGUGCUCACAGGGGACUUAGCUGCAAGCCUAAGGAUAGACAUAAACACUUGUCUUUGCCCUUUCAGAUGAAGCAAAUGCAGCAGAUCAGAGAAUCUUGCACUGAAGAAAGAGUGUGAUUCAGCAUUAUGACUUAUUUAUAGUCUCCACCUCGUAGGAAGGAAAAACAGAGGGACAGGGGUGAAAUCACAGGCUAAGUGAGGUCAGCAGAAUAACGUUCUUAGAGCUUCAUGCCAAAAUUUAGCAGCAGACAGAUUUCCAAGACUUCCUCAGUUCUUGAUCAUCAACAGCUUUCAUUAAUUCUGUGGAAAUUGCAGGGAGUGAAGCAUGCCUUGCUGAAGAGAACUCCGCGCUGGCAAAGCCCAGGACAUCCUUGGACCUGAUCCAUCACCAGCACCAGUUUGUGCACCUUUCAGAGAGGUUGUUUGCUUUUUGGAAGUUCCCUGUAGCAGCUCACUUUGGCAAAUAUGAAGCUCUUCCAGGCAUCCUGCCUUGACACCAUGUCCUCCCUUCCAUCAAGGCAAAAGUAGCUUCAAACAACACAGCCUUUUAGCAGCAUAAUGCAUUUCCAGGAGCAAUACCCCCCAUCUUUAUUCAUGAUGUGAAUGAUGGUAUGAGUAGUAAUAAUGAAACAGGGUUAUAAAGGUUUCCCAUUGUGAACUAGUAUUAAUCUAAUUUCCUACAGGAUGUUUAUCUAAGUCAGAAAUAGCCAAGCAGUUCAAAACACUUUGGCAAGUCUCUGAUGAAAAGAACCUGGGAAGUGUGAAGGGUUGCUGGAGAAUACUAAAUUGCAUUCACUCAGCUGUGCUGAGAAGCCUAAGCUGAUUCUUGCAGGGUUUUGCUAGGACCUAUCCAGUGCAAAUUGUCUUCUUAGUUUUAUGAAUGUUAAGAAUCAUCAA